This 539-nucleotide long non-coding RNA is filed under the name Lynx pardinus (Iberian lynx). The record is from RNAcentral. Lineage: Eukaryota; Metazoa; Chordata; Mammalia; Carnivora; Felidae.
UCUGAUGGCUGAGAAUGAGGAGUCUGGGGGAGGGGCAGGCUGUGUGGGGCAGGUGGGGGGCCCCUAAGAAGCAGGAAGUGAGAAGGUUGAGUGUCUGUCCCUCGGCCUCCUGCCUCUCUAGCUCCCCACGGUGCCCAGAGACUGCCCACCUGUGAUGGUGACAGUGAAGAAGGCUGAGUCAUCUCCGGCAUCACACACGAACUCGCCCCCCUGCUCGGGCUGGGCCGCAGGCAGAACCAGGCGGCGGCGUGGCCCGUCGCUCUCCAGCACCAGGGCCUCGCUCUCCUCCACCUCCAGCCCAUCCUUGUACCAGCGCACAGGGGCGUCCUCCCGAGACAGCUCACACAUCAGCACCACACACUCCAAGCUCACGGCGAUCAAGGUCACCUCAUCUCGGGGGUAUAUGAUGCGCACUGGGGGCUCUGCAGAGUGGGGCAAUCACAGGCUGUCACAAACUCAAUCGCCAGCCGCCCUGGCAACACGGAGUUCCUGUCGCUCACAACAACAAGAGUGAUAAGGAUAAUAAUAACAAGGAAUAA